AGGUUUUAGAUGGAGCAGUCUUGAAUUUGUGGGAAGCAUGUUCGUGCGAUAUCAAAUCAUCACUAGUGUAGAAAAAGGUGAUAGUGUAAACUGGAGGCAUAAGGUUAUCAAACAUAGAGAGUUGGAGAGUUCAGAGAUGAUUUAGGGUUGUAGUAGAUAUGACUUUAUUAUUAUUAUUACCGUUUAUUGGGAGAUAGAGACCGGAGAUUGACCAAGAUCGACGGUCGAGAUGUCAACUCCAAAAUAUGGAAAUCGAGAAGAUAUUAUUCUAGAAGAUUAUUGAUAAAUGUUAAUAUUGAGUUUAGGAAGUUUAACAUUAUCACAAUAUAUAUUAUUUACAUUUAUGUUUAUCCUAAAACUCUAUAUAAGAGAUUGUAAGUUGUAACAUUAUUUUCAUGAGAGUCUAAAUACAAUUCUUCCGUUAAACACUUUUGUGUUCUUUACUCUCAUUAAUUUAUCAUGGUAUCAGAGCAGAGCCUUGAUCCUACUCCUAUGGGUUAGGGUUUUCCGUUUGCUUCAGUUUCUACAUUUUUUUCUUCGUUUUUAAUUUUUUUCUUUCUUUUGUUUUGAUUUUUUCUCUAAUCAUUUAAAAAAAAAAAAUAUAGUUUCAAAUUUGAUCAUCUUUAUUUUUAGUAUAGAGAUUGAUGUGGUUAUAGAGAAAAGAGUGACUAGAGAUGAAAAACAUACAAAGAUGCUAAUGUUUUUAGAAGAACCAAUCGAUAUUCUACAAACACAUUACUAAUAUUUUCAUUAAGUAAUCGAAAAUUCAUUUCUUUAACCUUA
This 783-nucleotide long non-coding RNA is filed under the name Capsella rubella. Its description in RNAcentral is "long non-coding RNA (CRUB_LNC001544)". Lineage: Eukaryota; Viridiplantae; Streptophyta; Magnoliopsida; Brassicales; Brassicaceae. The record is from RNAcentral.